GGGCCAGUAGAUUAAUGGUAUAUCACGUCCCAGUCAAGGAUGAUAUUGUGGGUUCGACACCCACCUGGUCCAC
This 73-nucleotide transfer RNA is filed under the name Candidatus Lokiarchaeum ossiferum. Its description in RNAcentral is "tRNA-Asp". It matches the Rfam family "tRNA". Rfam says of the family: Transfer RNA (tRNA) molecules are approximately 80 nucleotides in length. The record is from RNAcentral. Lineage: Archaea; Promethearchaeati; Promethearchaeota; Promethearchaeia; Promethearchaeales; Promethearchaeaceae.